GACAGGNUGAACCCGUCUCUGUGGCAAAAGAGUGGGAAGACCUUGCAAUAGUGGUGAAAAGCCAACCGAGCCUGGUGAUAGCUGGUUGCUCAACAAACGAAUUUAAGUUCGACUUUAGGUCUACCGCAUUAAACUAAAAACCCUUGACCUAAAAGCUACUCAAUGAAGGUACAACUCCAUUGAGAUAGGAUACAACCCAAACUAGAGAGGAAGGCACACCAUUUUAACCAGUAGGCCUUCAAGCCGCCACCAGAAAUCAGAGCGUCACAGCAAAAAGAAUCUAAAUUUCACAAAUAACACCAACCUCCUAGAAAAACACUGAGCCAAACUAUGAUAAUAGACGAACUAAUGCUAAGACUAGUAACAAGAAACAUUCUCUCGGCACCACCGUAACCCAGAAAUAGAAAAACUGCUGGAUUUUAACAGACCAAAACAGGCACACAUAACCAAAUGUACUACCAACUGUUAAACCAACACCGGAGUGCCCCCCAGACAGAUUAAAAGUUAUUUAAGGAACUCAGCAAAACUUGUCCCAACUGUUUACCAAAAACAUAGCCUUUAGCAAACACAAGUAUUAAAGGUCCCGCCUGCCCAGUG
This 597-nucleotide ribosomal RNA is filed under the name Trachylepis comorensis. RNAcentral describes it as "partial 16S ribosomal RNA". It matches the Rfam family "Bacterial large subunit ribosomal RNA", at positions 768 to 1868 of the family's 2925-position model. The record is from RNAcentral. Lineage: Eukaryota; Metazoa; Chordata; Lepidosauria; Squamata; Scincidae.